AUCAGUGGCGAACGGGUGAGUAACACGUGAGCAACCUGCCCCGAACUCUGGGAUAAGCGCUGGAAACGGCGUCUAAUACUGGAUACGCACCGCACAGGCAUCUGUAGUGGUGGGAAAGAUUUUUUGGUUCGGGAUGGGCUCGCGGCCUAUCAGCUUGUUGGUGAGGUAAUGGCUCACCAAGGCGUCGACGGGUAGCCGGCCUGAGAGGGUGACCGGCCACACUGGGACUGAGACACGGCCCAGACUCCUACGGGAGGCAGCAGUGGGGAAUAUUGCACAAUGGGCGGAAGCCUGAUGCAGCAACGCCGCGUGAGGGAUGACGGCCUUCGGGUUGUAAACCUCUUUUAGCAGGGAAGAAGCGAGAGUGACGGUACCUGCAGAAAAAGCGCCGGCUAACUACGUGCCAGCAGCCGCGGUAAUACGUAGGGCGCAAGCGUUAUCCGGAAUUAUUGGGCGUAAAGAGCUCGUAGGCGGUUUGUCGCGUCUGCUGUGAAAACCCGAGGCUCAACCUCGGGCCUGCAGUGGGUACGGGCAGACUAGAGUGCGGUAGGGGAGAUUGGAAUUCCUGGUGUAGCGGUGGAAUGCGCAGAUAUCAGGAGGAACACCGAUGGCGAAGGCAGAUCUCUGGGCCGUAACUGACGCUGAGGAGCGAAAGGGUGGGGAGCAAACAG
This 671-nucleotide ribosomal RNA is filed under the name Microbacterium marinilacus. RNAcentral describes it as "bacterial SSU rRNA". It matches the Rfam family "Bacterial small subunit ribosomal RNA", at positions 91 to 775 of the family's 1533-position model. Lineage: Bacteria; Bacillati; Actinomycetota; Actinomycetes; Micrococcales; Microbacteriaceae. The record is from RNAcentral.